RNAcentral lists this ribosomal RNA (447 nucleotides) under uncultured bacterium. Its description in RNAcentral is "bacterial SSU rRNA". It matches the Rfam family "Bacterial small subunit ribosomal RNA", at positions 355 to 825 of the family's 1533-position model. The record is from RNAcentral.
UGGGGAAUAUUGGACAAUGGGCGAAAGCCUGAUCCAGCCAUGCCGCGUGAGUGACGAAGGCCUUAGGGUUGUAAAACUCUUUCGUCGGGGACGAUAAUGACGGUACCCGAAGAAGAAGCUCCGGCUAACUUCGUGCCAGCAGCCGCGGUAAUACGAAGGGAGCUAGCGUUGUUCGGAAUCACUGGGCGUAAAGCGCGGGCAGGCGGUCUGUUAAGUCGUUUGUGAAAAUCCGGGGCUCAACCCCGGAAAUGCAUACGAUACUGGCAGGCUGGAGACUGGUAGAGGCUAGCGGAAUUCCUGGUGUAGCGGUGGAAUGCGUAGAUAUCAGGAAGAACAUCGGUGGCGAAGGCGGCAUCCUGGACCGGUAUUGACGCCGAGGCGCGAAAGCCAGGGGAGCAAACAGGAUUAGAUACCCGAGUAGUCCCUGAGCGGGCUGGCAAGGCGCAU